RNAcentral lists this ribosomal RNA (253 nucleotides) under uncultured bacterium. RNAcentral's name for it is "partial 16S ribosomal RNA". It matches the Rfam family "Bacterial small subunit ribosomal RNA", at positions 524 to 776 of the family's 1533-position model. The record is from RNAcentral.
UACGAAGGGGGCUAGCGUUGCUCGGAAUCACUGGGCGUAAAGGGUGCGUAGGCGGGUCUUUAAGUCAGGGGUGAAAUCCUGGAGCUCAACUCCAGAACUGCCUUUGAUACUGAAGAUCUUGAGUUCGGGAGAGGUGAGUGGAACUGCGAGUGUAGAGGUGAAAUUCGUAGAUAUUCGCAAGAACACCGGUGGCGAAGGCGGCAUCCUGGACCAACACUGACACUGAGGAGCGAAAGCUAGGGGAGCAAACGGG